CCUACGAGAGGCAGCAGUGGGGGAUAUUGCACAAUGGGGGGAACCCUGAUGCAGCGACGCCGCGUGGGUGAAGAAGCGCCUCGGCGCGUAAAGCCCUGUCAGCAGGGAAGAAAAUGACGGUACCUGAAGACGAAGCCCCGGCUAACUACGUGCCAGCAGCCGCGGUAAUACGUAGGGGGCAAGCGUUAUCCGGGUUUACUGGGUGUAAAGGGGGCGCCGACGGCGGUGCAAGCCAGGAGUGAAAGCCCGGGGCCGAACCCCGGGACUGCUCUUGGAACUGCGUGGCUGGAGUGCAGGAGGGGCAGGCGGAAUUCCUGGUGUAGCGGUGAAAUGCGUAGAUAUCAGGAGGAACACCGGUGGCGAAGGCGGCCUGCUGGACUGCAACUGACGUUGAGGCCCGAAAGCGUGGGGAGCAAACAGGAUUAGAUACCCUUGUAGUC
RNAcentral lists this ribosomal RNA (440 nucleotides) under uncultured bacterium. Its description in RNAcentral is "partial 16S ribosomal RNA". It matches the Rfam family "Bacterial small subunit ribosomal RNA", at positions 338 to 795 of the family's 1533-position model. The record is from RNAcentral.